AAGCUUGCUUCUCUUGAGAGCGGCGGACGGGUGAGUAAUGCCUAGGAAUCUGCCUGGUAGUGGGGGAUAACGUUCGGAAACGGACGCUAAUACCGCAUACGUCCUACGGGAGAAAGCAGGGGACCUUCGGGCCUUGCGCUAUCAGAUGAGCCUAGGUCGGAUUAGCUAGUUGGUGAGGUAAUGGCUCACCAAGGCGACGAUCCGUAACUGGUCUGAGAGGAUGAUCAGUCACACUGGAACUGAGACACGGUCCAGACUCCUACGGGAGGCAGCAGUGGGGAAUAUUGGACAAUGGGCGAAAGCCUGAUCCAGCCAUGCCGCGUGUGUGAAGAAGGUCUUCGGAUUGUAAAGCACUUUAAGUUGGGAGGAAGGGCAGUUACCUAAUACGUGAUUGUUUUGACGUUACCGACAGAAUAAGCACCGGCUAACUCUGUGCCAGCAGCCGCGG
Molecule: ribosomal RNA, 448 nt
Filed under: bacterium AND16F
Lineage: Bacteria
Description: bacterial SSU rRNA
Rfam family: Bacterial small subunit ribosomal RNA
Source: RNAcentral